This 460-nucleotide ribosomal RNA is filed under the name uncultured bacterium. Its description in RNAcentral is "bacterial SSU rRNA". It matches the Rfam family "Bacterial small subunit ribosomal RNA", at positions 30 to 483 of the family's 1533-position model. The record is from RNAcentral.
AUUGAACGCUGGCGGCAUGCCUUACACAUGCAAGUCGAACGGCAGCACGGGAGCAAUCCUGGUGGCGAGUGGCGAACGGGUGAGUAAUAUAUCGGAACGUGCCCAGUCGUGGGGGAUAACGUAGCGAAAGCUACGCUAAUACCGCAUACGAUCUAUGGAUGAAAGCGGGGGAUCGCAAGACCUCGCGCGAUUGGAGCGGCCGAUAUCAGAUUAGGUAGUUGGUGAGGUAAAGGCUCACCAAGCCGACGAUCUGUAGCUGGUCUGAGAGGACGACCAGCCACACUGGGACUGAGACACGGCCCAGACUCCUACGGGAGGCAGCAGUGGGGAAUUUUGGACAAUGGGCGCAAGCCUGAUCCAGCAAUGCCGCGUGCAGGAUGAAGGCCUCGGUUGUAACUGACUUUUGUUACGGUAACGAACGGUAGAGCUCUAAUACAGUUUGCUAAUGACGGUACCGUAA